This 139-nucleotide unclassified non-coding RNA is filed under the name uncultured Capnodiales. Its description in RNAcentral is "sequence contains ITS2". Lineage: Eukaryota; Fungi; Ascomycota; Dothideomycetes; Capnodiales. The record is from RNAcentral.
ACACCCAUCAAGCCUGGCUUGGUAUUGGGCGACGGGACCUUCCCGCGCCCCGAUUUCGCCGGCUGGACGACCCCGAUCUCUCAAGCGUUGAACAUUCUCGCUGGCCAGACGGGCGCCUGCGCCGUUAAACCUCAAUCAA